Molecule: ribosomal RNA, 669 nt
Filed under: Elphidium sp. S1
Lineage: Eukaryota; Foraminifera; Rotaliida; Elphidiidae
Description: SSU rRNA
Rfam family: Eukaryotic small subunit ribosomal RNA
Source: RNAcentral
CUGAGGAUUGACAGACAAAUAUGGAAAUUUUAUAUUCUCAUAUAUAAAGAUGCUAGUUCUUUCAUGAUUAUGUGAUAGGUGGUGCAUGGCCGUUCUUAGUUCGUGGAGUGAUCUGUCUGCUUAAUUGCGUUUCAAUUUUUAUUAUGUAUACGUAUGACCCACGUUUACGCGUGCGAGUCUAGUAUGCUAUCAUUUGAAAGCAACGAACGUGACCGUAUCCUUUUAUUAUAUACGCACGCGUAUAUUUAUUCAUUAAAGGGACCGCUGUUUCUUUUUUUAAACCAGAGGAAGGUUACGGCAAUAACAGGUCUGUGAUGCCCUUCGAUGUUCCGGGCUGCACACGUGCUACAAUGAUUAUUUCAUUAAGUAUCUACUAUACUGCACAUUAUGUGUAUUAAAACCUACCCUGAGAAUGGGCGGGUAAUCAAUUAGAAGUAAUGAUUUCCUUUUUUUUAUACGCAACUAUGUACCGUAUAUUACAUCCCAUAAUAUCUUUUUAUUAUGCGUGUGUGUUUUAUUACCGUGUACGCGUAAUUGUUAAUUCAUGGUGGGGAUAGACCAUUGUUAAUUGUUGGUCUCGGUCUUAACUAGGAAUGCCUUGUACGGGUCAUUGGUUCAACAAACCACCCGGAAUACGUCCCUGCCCUUUGUACACACCGCCCGUCGCUC